GCUUACAGCCAUACCACCCUGAGAAUGCUCAGUCUCCUCUGAAGCUAAGCAGCGUUGGGCCUGGUUAAUACUUGAUGGGAGACUGCCUGGGAAUAUCAGGUGCUGUAAACU
This 111-nucleotide ribosomal RNA is filed under the name Takifugu rubripes (torafugu). Lineage: Eukaryota; Metazoa; Chordata; Actinopteri; Tetraodontiformes; Tetraodontidae. The record is from RNAcentral.